UUGGGGAUUUGGGGGAGGGUUUCGAAUUGGGGUCGCCAGAUCCGGAGGCGGCAACGGCGGCGGCGGAAGGGUUUUUGCCGGCGGGGGGAUCCCAUCGAGACUUUUUCUUGGAGGUCUGGGUAUUGGGGUCGGGUUUUGGUGAUGGGUUGUUGCUGUGAUUAAUAGGUUUCUGGUUUGGGUUCAGAUGAUUAUUGGGGUUUGUGGGUUUGGGGGAGGGUUUCGAAUUGGGGUCGCCGGAUCCGGAGGCGGCAGCGGCGGCAGAGGUGGCAGAAAGGUUUUUGCCGGCGGGGGGAUCCCAUCGGGACUUUUUCUUGGAGGAAGAAGGAGGAGUUUGUUUAUUAUUGGAGGAGGGUUUUGGAGGGUGAUUAGCUCCUGCCAUCCAAAAGUAGGGCUUUUGAUGUCGAAACUAUUUGUGGAAGAUAGUUCAAACUUCAAAGGGAGGAGUCAAGUUAUAUGUGCAGGAGCCGAGUACGUAUGAAAAUAC
Molecule: long non-coding RNA, 484 nt
Filed under: Nicotiana benthamiana
Lineage: Eukaryota; Viridiplantae; Streptophyta; Magnoliopsida; Solanales; Solanaceae
Description: long non-coding RNA (NBEN_LNC042353)
Source: RNAcentral